GAGCGAACUCGCAAGAGAGGCAGCCAGCUAAGGUAUGGCCGGUAAUUGGGGUGGAGUCGUAACAAGGUAGCCGUGGGGGAACCAGCGGCUGGAUCACCUCCUUUCUAAGGA
This 111-nucleotide ribosomal RNA is filed under the name Deltaproteobacteria bacterium. RNAcentral's name for it is "partial 16S ribosomal RNA". It matches the Rfam family "Bacterial small subunit ribosomal RNA", at positions 1432 to 1533 of the family's 1533-position model. The record is from RNAcentral. Lineage: Bacteria; Pseudomonadati; Myxococcota; Myxococcia.